AACGAACGCUGGCGGCAUGCCUAACACAUGCAAGUCGAACGAAGUCUUCGGACUUAGUGGCGCACGGGUGCGUAACGCGUGGGAAUCUGCCCUUGGGUACGGAAUAACUCAGAGAAAUUUGUGCUAAUACCGUAUAAUGUCUUCGGACCAAAGAUUUAUCGCCCAAGGAUGAGCCCGCGUAAGAUUAGCUAGUUGGUGGGGUAAAAGCCUACCAAGGCGACGAUCUUUAGCUGGUCUGAGAGGAUGAUCAGCCACACUGGGACUGAGACACGGCCCAGACUCCUACGGGAGGCAGCAGUGGGGAAUAUUGGACAAUGGGCGAAAGCCUGAUCCAGCAAUGCCGCGUGAGUGAUGAAGGCCUUAGGGUUGUAAAGCUCUUUUACCAGGGAUGAUAAUGACAGUACCUGGAGAAUAAGCUCCGGCUAACUCCGUGCCAGCCGCCGCGGUAA
This 449-nucleotide ribosomal RNA is filed under the name uncultured bacterium. RNAcentral's name for it is "partial 16S ribosomal RNA". It matches the Rfam family "Bacterial small subunit ribosomal RNA", at positions 29 to 523 of the family's 1533-position model. The record is from RNAcentral.